AGGGUUUGAUCAUGGCUCAGGAUGAACGCUAGCGGGAGGCCUAACACAUGCAAGCCGAGCGGUAUUGUUUCUUCGGAAAUGAGAGAGCGGCGUACGGGUGCGGAACACGUGUGCAACCUGCCUUUAUCUGGGGGAUAGCCUUUCGAAAGGAAGAUUAAUCCUCCAUAAUAUAUUGAACGGCAUCGUUUAAUAUUGAAAGCUCCGGCGGAUAGAGAUGGGCACGCGCAAGAUUAGCUAGUUGGUGAGGUAACGGCUCACCAAGGCGAUGAUCUUUAGGGGGCCUGAGAGGGUGAUCCCCCACACUGGUACUGAGACACGGACCAGACUCCUACGGGAGGCAGCAGUGAGGAAUAUUGGUCAAUGGGUGCAAGCCUGAACCAGCCAUCCCGCGUGAAGGACGACUGCCCUAUGGGUUGUAAACUUCUUUUGUAUAGGGAUAAACCUACCCUCGUGAGGGUAGCUGAAGGUACUAUACGAAUAAGCACCGGCUAACUCCGUGCCAGCCGCCGCGGUAAUAC
Molecule: ribosomal RNA, 518 nt
Filed under: uncultured bacterium
Lineage: Bacteria
Description: bacterial SSU rRNA
Rfam family: Bacterial small subunit ribosomal RNA
Source: RNAcentral